UUUUGGCAGGCUUCAAUUGAUGUGCUACAAGUAUUUGUGGGACAAUUUAGUUGCUGAUAAUUUUCCUUCUAAUAUUUUUUUCACUUAUUUUGGCUUAAACCCUCAACAUAAUCUAUGUGAAGAUCUAAAAGUGACAAGUGCUGACUCUGAAUUUUCUGCUUCGACUCUAGAUGAUGUGGUAAGAUAUUACAGAAAUACAUGUAGGAUGCCGGCCCCUGCUCAUGAUCGGCUCUUGUUGAGGUAUGCAUCUCUGAGCCAACUCGUGAUAGCUUUCAAUAAAUAUGAUUUUUGAGUGGAAUGUUUAUAAUAUUCACCCCUAUUCAAUUUAAAUUUCUGAAGAAGUGUACUACUUACUGACUCACCUAAUCACAUGCAUGCACACACAUUUUGAGUAAAGGCAGUAAUGAUUGCUUAUUUUGAGUAAAAAGCUUGAAAGUUUGACCCAAUUUUUGAAAGGCAAGAAAUAGUGAUAGGUCAUAAUGUUAAUAAAUUUGCCCGUCAGAAUGACUAGCAGUUUGUUUGCAGUACAUGAGACCUUAUUCUAUGGUUGUGGGUGCUCCAUGUCAGAUAUGAGUAUCAGAAAGAUCAUUCAUGCUUGGUGAAAUAAAUUCACAUAUGAUCAUGACUGGCUAACGAAUCAAAUUCACUCCUGUCUUGAGUUUUGGCUUGGAGAACAAGAAGCAACUUACCCUCCUGAAGAUGAACGCUGGAAAUGUGGUUACUGUCAAUUUGCUCCUGUCUGUCUGCAUACAAUGAUAGUAAAGGAACGAUGGGACCUAAAAGCAAUGAUUUAAACAUCAAAGAAGGCUAGAUAUCAUCAUGUAGACUCUCUAAUGUUAUUGUUACCUGCAUCAAUAAUGGUGAAAGCCUUCCAUAAGAAAAGCUUGGUAUUUUACCAGAGCUUGCGGUAAAAGCCUGAGUAGGUUUACAGUAGGCAUUAUUUUAUUCAUGUACACUGUUGUUGUAAGUUGUAACCGCAUGUCAAUUAUUUGGCAGCUAUCUAUUACAUUCUCAUCUUGUA
Non-coding RNA from Vigna umbellata (rice bean), 1021 nucleotides. NCBI's taxonomy places the organism in Eukaryota, Viridiplantae, Streptophyta, Magnoliopsida, Fabales, Fabaceae. The record is from RefSeq and is a predicted model, not a curated record.